RNAcentral lists this ribosomal RNA (253 nucleotides) under uncultured bacterium. RNAcentral describes it as "partial 16S ribosomal RNA". It matches the Rfam family "Bacterial small subunit ribosomal RNA", at positions 524 to 776 of the family's 1533-position model. The record is from RNAcentral.
UACGUAGGGUGCGAGCGUUACUCGGAAUUACUGGGCGUAAAGCGUGCGUAGACGGUUAUGUAAGUCAGGUGUGAAAGCCCCGGGCUCAACCUGGGAAUUGCAUUUGAGACUGCAUAGCUAGGGUGCGGAAGAGGGAAGCGGAAUUUCCGGUGUAGCGGUGAAAUGCGUAGAUAUCGGAAGGAACAUCAGUGGCGAAAGCGGCUUCCCGGUCCAGCACCGACGUUCAGGCACGAAAGCGUGGGGAGCAAACAGG